RNAcentral lists this microRNA precursor (129 nucleotides) under Mesocricetus auratus (golden hamster). RNAcentral's name for it is "miRNA (ENSMAUG00000001768.1)". Lineage: Eukaryota; Metazoa; Chordata; Mammalia; Rodentia; Cricetidae. The record is from RNAcentral.
GGUUUCUCUGUGGCUUUGGAGGCUGUCCUGGAACUCACUUUGUAGACCAGGCUGGCCUCGAACUCACAGAGAUCCACCUGCCUCUGUUUCCCGAGUGCUGGGAUUAAAGGCGUGCGCUACCAAUGCCCG